RNAcentral lists this transfer RNA (73 nucleotides) under Candidatus Epulonipiscioides gigas. RNAcentral's name for it is "Epulopiscium sp. SCG-B10WGA-EpuloA2 tRNA-Trp". It matches the Rfam family "tRNA". Rfam says of the family: Transfer RNA (tRNA) molecules are approximately 80 nucleotides in length. The record is from RNAcentral. Lineage: Bacteria; Bacillati; Bacillota; Clostridia; Lachnospirales; Lachnospiraceae.
AGGGGUAUAGUUCAGUCGGUAGAACGUCGGUCUCCAAAACCGGAUGUCGUGGGUUCAAGUCCUACUGCCCCUG